CCUUCAGUGUGUGGCUGAAGGCCCCAGGAAGCUGCUGGUGCAAAUCCCAGAGUCCAAAAGCCAAGGAACCUGGAGUCUGAUGUCCAACGGCAGG
Molecule: long non-coding RNA, 94 nt
Organism: Sapajus apella (tufted capuchin)
Lineage: Eukaryota; Metazoa; Chordata; Mammalia; Primates; Cebidae
Exons: 3
Source: RefSeq, a predicted model, not a curated record